Molecule: transfer RNA, 70 nt
Filed under: Pelagibacterium flavum
Lineage: Bacteria; Pseudomonadati; Pseudomonadota; Alphaproteobacteria; Hyphomicrobiales; Devosiaceae
Description: Pelagibacterium sp. YIM 151497 tRNA-Thr
Rfam family: tRNA
About the family: Transfer RNA (tRNA) molecules are approximately 80 nucleotides in length. Their secondary structure includes four short double-helical elements and three loops (D, anti-codon, and T loops). Further hydrogen bonds mediate the characteristic L-shaped molecular structure. tRNAs have two regions of fundamental functional importance: the anti-codon, which is responsible for specific mRNA codon recognition, and the 3' end, to which the tRNAs corresponding amino acid is attached (by aminoacyl-tRNA synthetases). tRNAs cope with the degeneracy of the genetic code in two manners: having more than one tRNA (with a specific anti-codon) for a particular amino acid; and 'wobble' base-pairing, i.e. permitting non-standard base-pairing at the 3rd anti-codon position.
Source: RNAcentral
GGGGUGGUAGCUCAAACGGAUAGAGUUGCACUCGUGGUGUAGGUUGCCGGUUCGAGCCCGGCCCGCCCCA